Long non-coding RNA from Pogona vitticeps (central bearded dragon), 838 nucleotides. NCBI's taxonomy places the organism in Eukaryota, Metazoa, Chordata, Lepidosauria, Squamata, Agamidae. The record is from Ensembl.
UCAUAGAGUCCCCGUGAGUUGGAGGUGACUUGAUGGCACCAACAACAACAACGUGAAAUGAUUGUAAGUUACAUCUGAAGACAUAUAUGUAGACAUACAUGCUCUAGCUGCAAACUUGUGCCCCUUAAGCCACAGCAAACAUACACGGGCCAGGCUGCGCUUCACGGAAGGAAGUAAACCUCCUUCGACAUGAUGCACACGUUCUCAGGUACAGUAGUUCUUGCAAAUGGGCGCCAAACUGCCCCGCUUGGCAUUCCCUCGGAGGCGCCCCUGCGGGAAGGCAGCGAAGGCGGACGAGGCCGCCCCUCCCUCCUCCCACCCCGUUCCGGAGCACCUCCGGCCAAUGGGAAGCGGGGAGGGGAAAUUUGGGCAGCUCAGCAGCUUCCCGGCAUGCCUUGCCCUCCAAGAGCAGCAGGCUCAGCCAUGGUGCGGUCGGGGGUUCGAGUCCCGCUGGUCCGCGGAGGGGGGGGGGCGACGACGACUCGCAGGCUCCCUGGGACCGGGAUCCACACUCGUCGGGAAGGCGGGCGGGCAGGAAAAAGCUUUCGGAGGCUGGCCGUGGCAAGCCGUGGCGCUCGCGCCUUUCCGAGAGCGACCUGCCUCCUUGCGAGGAAGCGCGGGCGGGCUUGGGCGAACUCCAGAGGCGGAGGUGGUCGCCGCGUCUGCUGGCAGCCGCUUUCCCAGCCGGCGAUCGUCGGAUUCUGGCAAUAUAUAUGAGGACAGCAGUUCCCAGAAUUCUCAGCUUGUGUGGCCCCUGGCUUGUGGAUUUGGGGACCUGUUGUCCAAAACAGAACUUUGCAAAGCUCUUCUUUCAAUGCCUUGUCUUCUUCCAACCUGA